This 637-nucleotide ribosomal RNA is filed under the name uncultured Paenibacillus sp. Its description in RNAcentral is "bacterial SSU rRNA". It matches the Rfam family "Bacterial small subunit ribosomal RNA", at positions 102 to 726 of the family's 1533-position model. The record is from RNAcentral. Lineage: Bacteria; Bacillati; Bacillota; Bacilli; Caryophanales; Paenibacillaceae.
ACGGGUGAGUAACACGUAGGCAACCUGCCNUCAAGUUUGGGACAACUACCGGAAACGGUAGCUAAUACCGAAUAGUUGUUUUCUUCUCCUGAAGGAAACUGGAAAGACGGAGCAAUCUGUCACUUGGGGAUGGGCCUGCGGCGCAUUAGCUAGUUGGUGGGGUAACGGCUCACCAAGGCGACGAUGCGUAGCCGACCUGAGAGGGUGAUCGGCCACACUGGGACUGAGACACGGCCCAGACUCCUACGGGAGGCAGCAGUAGGGAAUCUUCCGCAAUGGGCGAAAGCCUGACGGAGCAAUGCCGCGUGAGUGAUGAAGGUUUUCGGAUCGUAAAGCUCUGUUGCCAGGGAAGAACGCUUGGGAGAGUAACUGCUCUCAAGGUGACGGUACCUGAGAAGAAAGCCCCGGCUAACUACGUGCCAGCAGCCGCGGUAAUACGUAGGGGGCAAGCGUUGUCCGGAAUUAUUGGGCGUAAAGCGCGCGCAGGCGGUCAUUUAAGUCUGGUGUUUAAUCCCGGGGCUCAACCCCGGAUCGCACUGGAAACUGGGUGACUUGAGUGCAGAAGAGGAGAGUGGAAUUCCACGUGUAGCGGUGAAAUGCGUAGAUAUGUGGAGGAACACCAGUGGCGAAGGCGACU